GCUGGGCAUCGUGGCGCGUGCCUGUAAUCCCAGCUACUCGGGAGGCUGAGGCAGGAGAAUUGCCUGAACCCAGGAGGUGGAGGUUGCGGUGAGCUGAGACCGCGCCAUUGCACUCCAGCCUGGGUAACAAGAGUGAAACUCCGUCUCAAAAAAAAAAAAAAAAAAAGUGAGCAAAGGACAUGAACAGACACUUUUCAAAAGACAAUAUAUAUGCAGCCAAUGAUCUUUUUUUUUUUUUGAGACAGAGUUUCACUCUUGUUCCCCAAGCUGGAGUGCAAUGGCGCGAUCUCGGCUCACCGCAACCUCCGCCUCCUGGGUUCAGGCAAUUCUCCUGCCUCA
This 339-nucleotide signal recognition particle RNA is filed under the name Saimiri boliviensis boliviensis (Bolivian squirrel monkey). Its description in RNAcentral is "Metazoan signal recognition particle RNA (ENSSBOG00000003571.1)". It matches the Rfam family "Metazoan signal recognition particle RNA". From Rfam's summary of the family: The signal recognition particle (SRP) is a universally conserved ribonucleoprotein. It is involved in the co-translational targeting of proteins to membranes. The record is from RNAcentral. Lineage: Eukaryota; Metazoa; Chordata; Mammalia; Primates; Cebidae.